AAGAAAACGCUAUGUAAAGUUGUCUUAAUAAUCGUUUACUGAAGAAGGCCUUUGGCCGAAAUAUUUAAUAAAAGAAUUCCAACAAAAGUUUUCGUCGUCCUGUUUGGUCUGUUUGUAAUGAUCGUGUUUACCUCCGCCCAAGUAGAGUUCGGUGCGGGGUCGGGGCUAUUGCUCGGAUUACCUAUUAUUUUGCUGCUUUUCCUAAUACCGCUGCUGACAUCAAACAACGGAGGGGGAUCGGGACGGACUACUUUUGUAUUUGGAAAUUUCUCCGCACCGUCGGGUGGGAAGUAAUCUGUAUGCUGGGCUGUGGACACAGAAUCAUCAUGGAUUUUUUGGUUAUUUCAUCACAAUAAAAACUAAUCUCGAUAUGUCUUUGAAUUGAACAAAAUAGAAAUAUUCAUAAUAUAAAACGAGUCAUGGCCUUACAAGAUAUGCGUACCGCUCGUGGAACCAUUUCGCAUCGUGACCAUAGCAAACAUUCUUAGCAGACGGACAGAAAAUAACUUGACAACCUGAAGAUGAAGUAUGUUUAAUUCACCGGCAAUCCCCAUCUUAUCACAUAUUGCCAUUUUAUAUCUGUGUAAGCAAACACCCAAUGUGUUCGCUUGAUUAUAAUGUUCGCGUCUCCUCCGUUUAUUUAACACAACUCGUUAACUUGAAGUAAUCGAUGACAUACUAUGGACCUAGCCCCUAGGCGCGCGUCGUUCAGUAUAAGGUUUGAUUGCUGAACGAAUAAUUUGUUUUGUUUUAUAAUUAAAUAUACAAUAUACUAAUGUAUCAUACUUUGCAAUGGCGAAAUGCACUUGCCAAAAGAUACGUUAAGGAUUAUCGGAAUAAAUCCAGAUUUAACCCAUUUAUGCCUAGCGUCUAGAAAAACAGCGAAGACCCAGAUGAGACGCCGCAUGAUGUGGCGUCUCAUCACGGUCUGCGCUGUAUGCUUUAAGGAAUUUCUGUAAGAAAUAUUCUAAAUAUAGAAAUAAAUAUACUAGACACCCCUUUUUUGGAAAUAAAUUGAUCCAAUUAAUUAGGAUGGGAGAGUCCACUAGGCAUACAUGGGUUAAUUUCAUAUACGAUAUUACAUCACGGUUUGUUGGGAAGAACAUGGGAAGCUAUGCAUUGUUUCAAACUAAACCGAUAUUUGUAUGAUAUACGAUUUGUCAAAAGCUCAAAACGUUUCUUUAAGGAAAUUUAAAUAUAAUAAUA
This is a long non-coding RNA of Dreissena polymorpha, 1206 nucleotides long. RefSeq lists it as uncharacterized. Lineage: Eukaryota; Metazoa; Mollusca; Bivalvia; Myida; Dreissenidae. The transcript has 4 exons. The record is from RefSeq and is a predicted model, not a curated record.